The sequence is a small nuclear RNA, 74 nucleotides long. Its record names the gene U2. It matches the Rfam family "U2 spliceosomal RNA". Rfam says of the family: U2 is a small nuclear RNA (snRNA) component of the spliceosome (involved in pre-mRNA splicing). Complementary binding between U2 snRNA (in an area lying towards the 5' end but 3' to hairpin I) and the branchpoint sequence (BPS) of the intron results the bulging out of an unpaired adenosine, on the BPS, which initiates a nucleophilic attack at the intronic 5' splice site, thus starting the first of two transesterification reactions that mediate splicing. The record is from Ensembl.
AUCGCUUCUCGGCCUUUUGGCUAAGAUCAAGUGUAGAAAAUCUUCAGCAUAAUUUUACGAAGAUUGCACCUUCC